Molecule: long non-coding RNA, 967 nt
Organism: Bos taurus (domestic cattle)
Lineage: Eukaryota; Metazoa; Chordata; Mammalia; Artiodactyla; Bovidae
Source: Ensembl
CUCUACUCACUGUACUCCCAAUGGAGGAGACAUAUACAGGACUUUGAGGCAAGAAUGUUGCCAUUUCCUUCUCCAGAGCAGCUUCCUGACCCAGGGAUCAAACCUGCAUCUCCAGCCCCCGCAGGUGGGUUCCUUACCACUACCACGACAGAUGAUGAGAUGGUUGAAUGGCAUCACUAACUCGAUGGACAUGAGUUUGAGUAGGCUCCAGGAGUUGGUGAUGGACAGGGAAGCCUGGUGUGCUGCAGUCUAUGGAAAGAGUCUCUCUAUGCAAAGAGUCAGAUAGGGCUGAGUGACUGAACUGAACUGAACUCUACAGUUCUUUUAGACACUUUAACAGAGGACAUGCAAAGAGAAAAAAAGUUGUGACUGUUGUAUGGAAUGCUUUAAAUGAAAUCAGAAGUUGAUUUAAAAUCUGAAUUAGCAAAAGCAAUAUUGACAUUGAUGGCAAAGCAAAAAUCAGAACAAGGAGAAAAGAUAUUUUCUUCCUAAAAAAAAGAAAACCAGCUGAUAUGGAACAGCAUAUACUCUAAUGUCCAAUUUGAAGAUGCUUUUAGAACCAGUCUUAAGAAUUUAAUCAAGGAAAAUGAAAAAUUAAGGUUUCUAUGUCUGAAAUAUUUUUAAUGAAACAAAGAAUAAAACUAUCAAGGAACUAAUGCUUUGUGUAUUUUAAAAUUUCAUUUUAAGAACAAUAACUUAAAGGAGGUGGGUGAUAUUAUCAAAAUGCAGUCCCCUAACAAGACCAACCAGGGGCUUCCAAGAUGGCAAUGGUAAAGACUCUGCCUGCCGGUGUAGGAGACACAGGAGAUGCAGCUUCAGUCCAUGGGUUGGGAAGAUAACCUGGAGAAGAAAAUGGCAACCCACUCUAGUAUUCUUGCGUGGAAAAUCCCAUGGACAUAGGAACCUUGUGGGCUACAGUCCAUGGGGUUGCAAAGAGUUGAACACAGCUCAGUGACUGAGCAUACAC